GGUCCCCGCGCCAACGGCGGAGAAGGCGGGCGCGGAGGCGGGGCGGGCGGAGGCCGGCGAGGGCGCCGCGGGGGCGCCGCGGGGCGAGGGGGAGGGCGCAGCCGCCACGGCCGCCCUGAGCCCCGCGGGAGGCGCCCAUCCGGACAAGGGGCGCGCGGGCGAGCGGGGGCCGGACGCCCACGGGGACCCGGGGGCCGAGGCGCGGGGCGCGGGCGCAGCACCGGGCGAGGCGGACGCCGCGGAGGGCGCCCCGGGGUGCGCCGAGGUCCCCCGGGGAGAGGAGGGCGAGGCCUCGGGGGAGCUGCGGGGGAGCCCCGAGGAGCCCGAGGAGCCCGAGGCGCCCGACGCGAAGGAGACAGCGGAGCAAGGGCCGGAGGGAGCGGGCGGCGGCAGUCCGGGGGGCGCAGGGGGCGCAGGCGGCGAGCAUGGCAGCCGCGGAGCAGGCGGGAGGGGCGCACGGGCCCCAGGGGGAGCCCGGGGACGGGGGGGACCCCGGCCCCCAGCCCACUGAGGGGGCCCCCGGGGGGCUUGCAGGGGAGCCUCGGGGUGCGGCGGGGACCGAGGAAGCGGGGGACGCGAGGGCGGCAGCCGUGGAGGACCUGGGGGGACCCCAGGAGGGGACGGAGGAGCAGGAGAGGCGAGAGCGCGGCCCGGGGGCGCCGGCGGGGGCGAGGAGGAGCCCCCCGACGGCAGCGCGCAGGCGGAGGAGCCGGGGGAGCCGGGGGAGCCGGGGGAUCCGGGGGAGCAGGAGGAGCCGGAGGAGCCGGGGGAGCCGGAGGAGCCGGAGGCCGGAGCCGAGCUCGGCAACCACCUGGCGGAGGAGGGCAGCGUGCAGGGCGCGGACGAGGCGGCGCGGGUGAACGGCGGCGGGGAGGACGGCGAGGCGUCGGAGGAGGGCGCCCCGCGGCAGGAGCACGACAUCACCCUCUUCGUGAAGGUACCCGGAGCUCCGCGGCCCCUCGCGCCCCCCGAGUCGGGGCUUCCCGGGGCGCUGGUCGUGGCUCUGUUCGCGGGAGGGAGGGAGGCGGCCCGGCCUGGGUCACCGGGAGCUUGCGGAGCGCUUGGGGAGACGCGGGGGUUUGGAAACAAAGAGGUUGGGCGGGGGUUGGGGGGGGGGAGUCGGGGUGCGGGCCCAGCAUCGCACUGUCCUUUGUUCUGAAAAUCCUAACUGGCCCUUCUAGUCUGGAGAUUAUUGGAGAAUAA
RNAcentral lists this long non-coding RNA (1203 nucleotides) under Canis lupus familiaris (dog). RNAcentral describes it as "lncRNA (ENSCAFG00040019266.1)". The record is from RNAcentral. Lineage: Eukaryota; Metazoa; Chordata; Mammalia; Carnivora; Canidae.